This 377-nucleotide long non-coding RNA is filed under the name Cavia porcellus (domestic guinea pig). RNAcentral describes it as "lncRNA (ENSCPOG00000032808.1)". The record is from RNAcentral. Lineage: Eukaryota; Metazoa; Chordata; Mammalia; Rodentia; Caviidae.
GAAAAUAGAAGAUAAAACUUUGGAUUGUCCGAAAGUAGAUCCUCGUACCUGGUGAUUCUCAGAGGUGAAAACAUGUUCCCACAGAGAUAAAUACAAUUCCGCUGAAGAUCUUUUGGAUUACAAGCUGUCUGCAGCAGGCUCCCAGCUUCUCUGCCCAAGAUUUUCACUUAUCCUCCUGAGUUGAUGAACUUGAUCUCCAGCUGAAGAUGUGAAAUACAAGGGGAAGCAGCUCACUUCCGGUGACAGGGCUGGCCUCGCCUCAUCACUCUGCCCCAGGACUAGGAGUUGAAUGGGACAGCACUGCAUUGCAGGACGGAUAGAGGUGUUGCUGUUGCCCUGGAGACAGCCCAAGGCUGCUUGGUCUCCCUUCAAUUUCC